CAGAGUUCAUGCCCUUCGGGGUAGAUCUCCCACCCUUGUGUAUUUAUACCUUUGUUGCUUUGGCAGGCCGCUGGGCGUAGCCUAGCUAUCGGCUUCGGCUGGUAAGUGCUUGCCAGAGGAAAUCAAACUCUGAAUGUUAAUGUCGUCUGAGUACUAUAUAAUAGUUA
RNAcentral lists this unclassified non-coding RNA (167 nucleotides) under uncultured fungus. RNAcentral's name for it is "sequence contains ITS1, 5.8S rRNA gene". Lineage: Eukaryota; Fungi. The record is from RNAcentral.